UAUAUAUAUAGCUUGACUAGGCUAUCGGUAGAAAACUGCUCGAUUAGCUACCAAUUUAUUUUUGAUGAUAGAGCUUCUAAAUUAAUGUUCGGUACCAUUGAAUAUGAUCUACACUAUUUAAACUAUUUAGAAAUCAAAUAUCAUAAUUGUUUGGUAUCACUAACCAAACGUGAAAGAGUCACAAAAUUUGUAAUUUUAGUAGUCGAUAUAGUGCAUUUGCUCAUUUAACGACAGAGAAGAGUUCAAAUCAACUAAAUUUUUGUUAGAAAAUUCUUUAAACUAUUUAAAAUAAGAUCUAUGCUAUAAGUUAUUUUUUAUAAUAGAAUUUCUGAAUCGAUGAUCCAUAUCAUUAAACAUGAUUUAAAACAUUUAAAAUUUUUAAAAAUCAAAUUUCAUAAUUUUUCAACAUCAUUACCUUAUGAUCAAAAGAUUUUAAUUAAAAUUGAUAAAUUUUAAUGGCCAGUGUGGAUACUUGAAGAAUCUGAUUAUCUAUUUUUAUGAGGUUAUUCAAUUUUGACCAUUCAUUUUAUACAUGCUUAGUGGACUUUAAUAUAAUUUCAAAAAAAUGUGAAAUAUAUUUUUAAAAAGUUUUGAAUGUUCUAGAUUAUAUUUAAUCGUAUGGAUCAUCGAUUAGGAAGCUUAAUCAUAUUUAAAAACAACUUAUGAGUAUGAAUGGAUCUAUACCUAUAGGAGUCUAAUAGU
Molecule: long non-coding RNA, 702 nt
Filed under: Ananas comosus (pineapple)
Lineage: Eukaryota; Viridiplantae; Streptophyta; Magnoliopsida; Poales; Bromeliaceae
Description: long non-coding RNA (ACOM_LNC016491)
Source: RNAcentral